AGGACGAACGCUGGCGGCGUGCCUAACACAUGCAAGUCGAACGGGACCAGGGGCAACUCUGGUUCAGUGGCGGACGGGUGCGUAACACGUGAGGAACAUGACCUUCGGCGGGGGAUAGCCGGCCCAACGGCCGGGUAAUACCGCGUACGACCACUCGGGGACAUCCCUAGGUGGUGAAAGCAGCAAUGCGCCGAUGGAGUGCCUCGCGGCCUAUCAGCUAGUGGUGAGUACGCUCACAAGGCGACGACGGGUA
This 253-nucleotide ribosomal RNA is filed under the name uncultured soil bacterium. RNAcentral's name for it is "partial 16S ribosomal RNA". It matches the Rfam family "Bacterial small subunit ribosomal RNA", at positions 26 to 285 of the family's 1533-position model. The record is from RNAcentral.